UCCUCGGUGGUCCAACGGCUAGGAUUCCUCGCUUUCACGAGCUCGCAAUACAAUGACUCUCUCAUUGCAUCCGAGGCGGCCCGGGUUCGACUCCCGGCCGGGGAA
Molecule: non-coding RNA, 105 nt
Organism: Tulasnella sp. JGI-2019a
Lineage: Eukaryota; Fungi; Basidiomycota; Agaricomycetes; Cantharellales; Tulasnellaceae
Source: the annotation of a GenBank genome assembly